GGGCAAUUAGCUCAGCUGGUUAGAGCACACGCUUCACAUGCGUGGGGUCAGAGGUUCUUUUCAACCUUAUUUCCGA
RNAcentral lists this transfer RNA (76 nucleotides) under Omnitrophica bacterium RIFOXYB12_FULL_50_7. Its description in RNAcentral is "tRNA-Val". Lineage: Bacteria; Pseudomonadati; Candidatus Omnitrophota. The record is from RNAcentral.